CCGGCCGCCACCGGGGGUACGUCGCCGCCUCCGGCCCGGGCCCGGUGACAGACACUCCCCGGGGCGCGGCCGCUCCGACCGGCCCGGCCGGA
RNAcentral lists this transfer RNA (92 nucleotides) under Streptomyces antimycoticus. RNAcentral's name for it is "tRNA-Pro". The record is from RNAcentral. Lineage: Bacteria; Bacillati; Actinomycetota; Actinomycetes; Kitasatosporales; Streptomycetaceae.